UGGGGAAUAUUGCACAAUGGGCGGAAGCCUGAUGCAGCGACGCCGCGUGAGGGAUGACGGCCUUCGGGUUGUAAACCUCUUUCGACAGGGACGAAGCGCAAGUGACGGUACCUGGAGAAGAAGCGCCGGCCAACUACGUGCCAGCAGCCGCGGUAAGACGUAGGGCGCGAGCGUUGUCCGGAUUUAUUGGGCGUAAAGAGCUCGUAGGCGGCUCGUUGCGUCGGCUGUGAAAACCCGCAGCUCAACUGUGGGCUUGCAGCCGAUACGGGCGGGCUAGGAUUCGGUAGGGGAGACUGGAAUUCCUGGUGUAGCGGUGAAAUGCGCAGAUAUCAGGAGGAACACCGGUGGCGAAGGCGGGUCUCUGGGCCGAUAUCGACGCUGAGGAGCGAAAGCGUGGGGAGCGAACAG
RNAcentral lists this ribosomal RNA (408 nucleotides) under uncultured bacterium. RNAcentral describes it as "bacterial SSU rRNA". It matches the Rfam family "Bacterial small subunit ribosomal RNA", at positions 355 to 775 of the family's 1533-position model. The record is from RNAcentral.